This 528-nucleotide ribosomal RNA is filed under the name uncultured Bacteroidota bacterium. Its description in RNAcentral is "bacterial SSU rRNA". It matches the Rfam family "Bacterial small subunit ribosomal RNA", at positions 84 to 610 of the family's 1533-position model. Lineage: Bacteria; Pseudomonadati; Bacteroidota. The record is from RNAcentral.
UCCGCUGACGACCGGCGCACGGGUGCGUAACGCGUAUGCAACCUACCUUCUACAGGGGGAUAGUCAAUAGAAAUGUUGAAUAAUACCCCAUACGAUCUUUGAAUAGCAUUAUUUAAAGAAGAAAGCUCCGGCGGUAGAAGAUGGGCAUGCGUCCUAUUAGUUAGUUGGUAAGGUAACGGCUUACCAAGACUUCGAUAGGUAGGGGUCCUGAGAGGGAGACCCCCCACACUGGUACUGAGACACGGACCAGACUCCUACGGGAGGCAGCAGUGAGGAAUAUUGGACAAUGGAGGCAACUCUGAUCCAGCCAUGCCGCGUGCAGGAAGACUGCCCUAUGGGUUGUAAACUGCUUUUAUACAGGAAGAAAUAUACCUACGUGUAGGUAUUUGACGGUACUGUACGAAUAAGGAUCGGCUAACUCCGUGCCAGCAGCCGCGGUAAUACGGAGGAUCCAAGCGUUAUCCGGAAUCAUUGGGUUUAAAGGGUCCGUAGGCGGUCUUUUAAGUCAGAGGUGAAAUCCUACAGCUC